GUAACAAGGUUUCCGUAGGUGAACCUGCGGAAGGAUCAUUACAGAGUUCAUGCCCGAAAGGGUAGGCCUCCCACCCUUGUGUAUUAUUACUUUGUUGCUUUGGCGAGCUGCUCUUCGGGGCCUUGUAUGCUCGCCAGAGAAUAUCAAAACUCUUUUUAUUAAUGUCGUCUGAGUACUAUAUAAUAGUUAAAACUUUCAACAACGGAUCUCUUGGUUCUGGCAUCGAUGAAGAACGCAGCGAAAUGCGAUAAGUAAUGUGAAUUGCAGAAUUCAGUGAAUCAUCGAAUCUUUGAACGCACAUUGCGCCCCUUGGUAUUCCGGGGGGCAUGCCUGUUCGAGCGUCAUUUCAACCCUCAAGCUCAGCUUGGUAUUGAGUCCAUGUCAGUAAUGGCAGGCUCUAAAAUCAGUGGCGGCGCCCUGGGUCCUGAACGUAGUAAUAUCUCUCGUUACAGGUUCUCGGUGUGCUUCUGCCAAAACCCAAAUUUUCUAUGGUUGACCUCGGAUCAGGUAGGGAUACCCGCUGAACUUAAGCAUAU
Molecule: ribosomal RNA, 536 nt
Filed under: Sclerotinia sclerotiorum
Lineage: Eukaryota; Fungi; Ascomycota; Leotiomycetes; Helotiales; Sclerotiniaceae
Description: eukaryotic LSU rRNA
Rfam family: 5.8S ribosomal RNA (bases 191-344)
Source: RNAcentral